UUCAAAGGUACCCUCAGUACGAUUGGUAACCGUACGUGGAGCGCAAUAGCAUAAGGGUGCUUGACUGUGAGACCUACAAGUCGAGCAGGGUCGAAAGACGGAUAUAGU
RNAcentral lists this ribosomal RNA (108 nucleotides) under Rhinopithecus roxellana (golden snub-nosed monkey). RNAcentral's name for it is "rRNA (ENSRROG00000000636.1)". It matches the Rfam family "Bacterial large subunit ribosomal RNA", at positions 2309 to 2416 of the family's 2925-position model. Lineage: Eukaryota; Metazoa; Chordata; Mammalia; Primates; Cercopithecidae. The record is from RNAcentral.